RNAcentral lists this ribosomal RNA (253 nucleotides) under uncultured bacterium. Its description in RNAcentral is "partial 16S ribosomal RNA". It matches the Rfam family "Bacterial small subunit ribosomal RNA", at positions 524 to 776 of the family's 1533-position model. The record is from RNAcentral.
UACGUAGGGGGCGAGCGUUACCCGGAUUUACUGGGCGUAAAGGGUGUGCAGGCGGGGUUGCAAGUGGUGUCUGAAAUAUCCCAGCUUAACUGGGAGGGGUUAUGCCAGACUGCAACUCUAGAGGACGAGAGAGGGGGGUGGAAUUCCGGGUGUAGUGGUGAAAUGCGUAGAGAUCCGGAGGAACCCCAGAGGCGAAGGCGGCCCCCUGGCUCGUACCUGACGCUCAGCCACGAAAGCAUGGGGAGCGAACGGG